Molecule: transfer RNA, 75 nt
Filed under: Nostoc sp.
Lineage: Bacteria; Bacillati; Cyanobacteriota; Cyanophyceae; Nostocales; Nostocaceae
Also listed under: 4 other names
Description: tRNA-Asn
Rfam family: tRNA
About the family: Transfer RNA (tRNA) molecules are approximately 80 nucleotides in length.
Source: RNAcentral
UGCCUCAUAGCUCAAUGGCAGAGCAAGCGGCUGUUAACCGCGAGGUUGCAAGUUCGACUCUUGCUGAGGCAGCCA